RNAcentral lists this ribosomal RNA (1131 nucleotides) under uncultured bacterium. Its description in RNAcentral is "bacterial SSU rRNA". It matches the Rfam family "Bacterial small subunit ribosomal RNA", at positions 8 to 1104 of the family's 1533-position model. The record is from RNAcentral.
AGAGUUUGAUCCUGGCUCAGGGCGAACGCUAGCGGCGCGCCUAACACAUGCAAGUCGUGCGGGAAAGGGCUUCGGCCCUAGUACCGCGGCAGACGGGUGAGUAACACGUGAGCAACCUGUCCCCGGGUCUGGGAUAACCACCCGAAAGGGUGGCUAAUACCGGAUAAAGUCACCGGGCGCAAGCUCGGUGAUGAAAGGGGGCCUCUGCAUAGCAAGCUCCUGCCUGGGGAGGGGCUCGCGGCCCAUCAGCUAGUUGGUGGGGUAAUGGCCCACCAAGGCUAUGACGGGUAGCCGGCCUGAGAGGGUGGUCGGCCACACGGGCACUGAGACACGGGCCCGACUCCUACGGGAGGCAGCAGUGGGGAAUCUUGGGCAAUGGGCGAAAGCCUGACCCAGCGACGCCGCGUGGGGGAAGAAGGCCUUCGGGUCGUAAACCCCUGUUCUGGGGGAAGAACCCUGAACGGGUUAAUAGCCCGUUCAGGCUGACGGUACCCCAGGAGAAAGCCACGGCUAACUGCGUGCCAGCAGCCGCGGUAAUACGCAGGUGGCGAGCGUUGCCCGGAAUCACUGGGCGUAAAGGGUGCGUAGGCGGCAGGGCAAGUCGCGGGUUAAAGCCCGGGGCUCAACCCCGGAAAGGCCUGCGAUACUGCCUUGCUUGAGGGCCGGAGAGGCUGGCGGAAUUCCCGGUGUAGGGGUGAAAUCCGUAGAUAUCGGGAGGAACACCGGUGGGGAAGCCGGCCAGCUGGACGGUUCCUGACGCUGAGGCACGAAAGCGUGGGGAGCAAACCGGAUUAGAUACCCGGGUAGUCCACGCCGUAAACGAUGGGUGCUAGGUCUGGGGAGGAAACUCUCUGGGCCGAAGCUAACGCGUUAAGCACCCCGCCUGGGGAGUACGGCCGCAAGGCUGAAACUCAAAGGAAUUGACGGGGGCCCGCACAAGCGGUGGAGCACGUGGUUUAAUUCGAUGCAAAGCGAAGAACCUUACCUGGGCUUGACAUGCCAGGGUUGUACCCCGGUGGAAACACUGGGGGAGCGUGGGUUUUUACUCACGCGCUCUGGCACAGGUGCUGCAUGGCUGUCGUCAGCUCGUGCCGUGAGGUGUUGGGUUAAGUCCCGCAACGAGCGCAACCC